GACGAACGCUGGCGGCGUGCCUAAUACAUGCAAGUCGAACGGAGCACUGAAUUUCGGUUUAGUGUUUAGUGGCGAACGGGUGAGUAACGCGUGAGCAACCUGACCUUCAGAGGGGGAGUAACAUUUGGAAACAGAUGCUAAUACCGCAUAAGACCACGACCCGACCAUCGGGAUGAGGUCAAAGGAGCAAUCCGCUGAAGGAGGGGCUCGCGUCCCAUUAGAUAGAUGGCGGGGUAACGGCCCACCAUGUCGACGAUGGGUAGCCGAGCUGAGAGGCUGAUCGGCCACACUGGAACUGAGACACGGUCCAGACUCCUACGGGAGGCAGCAGUGGGGAAUAUUGGGCAAUGGGCGAAAGCCUGACCCAGCAACGCCGCGUGAGUGAAGAAGGCCUUCGGUUGUAAGCUCUUCGGUCCGGGAGAAUACGCAUGGGUCGAAUACCCUCGUGUGGAUGACGGUACCGGAAGUAAGAAGCACCGGCUAACUACGUGCCAGCAGCCGCGGUAAAC
This 509-nucleotide ribosomal RNA is filed under the name uncultured bacterium. Its description in RNAcentral is "bacterial SSU rRNA". It matches the Rfam family "Bacterial small subunit ribosomal RNA", at positions 28 to 525 of the family's 1533-position model. The record is from RNAcentral.